This 6155-nucleotide long non-coding RNA is filed under the name Malus domestica (apple). Its description in RNAcentral is "long non-coding RNA (MDOM_LNC003570)". Lineage: Eukaryota; Viridiplantae; Streptophyta; Magnoliopsida; Rosales; Rosaceae. The record is from RNAcentral.
UAUAUGCAAGUCCUCCUCCUCUUAUGGACUCGUAAAGGAUGGAAGCUUGUGCGAGUUGUUAUAAAAUGGGAAGCCCUACUGCUUACUCACCACCCAUCUUCUCCAAGAGAAAAGAAGAGAAAAAAAAAAGGAGCCAGUAAGGCUUCCCACACAUCAUUCUUUUUUUAGUAACAUUAAUAUUUGCAUUUGGUUGUCUUUACCAAGCAAUUCAGAGACAUGGGAUCAGAGAGCUCUCAGCCGUCUUCUCCUCCUCCUCCUCCUCCUCCUCCUCCUCCUUCACGUGGAGGUGAAGAACCACCCAAAAACUGUCCGGUGGAUUAUAGUUUAUUAAAUUUAGUAGAUAAGGAUGAUAAGCAGUGUUGGAAACCAGAAAGGCUCGACGACCACAUGACUGCUCUACACAGUAAAAGGCUGCCCAUAGGCAAAUGGUGAAGUGGUUCAUACAUAGGACGUCUUAUAUAUCGCGGUCUGCUGUCAACUAAUAACAUCAAUAUUAUUAUUAUGUAUAAUAAUUAAGCUAUUCCAUUAAAGUUCUAUAUAUGUACUUCCACAAUCCAGAGCUUAGCAGACCUGGUAUGUAUUUGUAAUUUUAGUGUGUGUAUAUAUAUAUUGAGCUCUUAAGAAGAAGAAAAAUCGAUAACUCGCUAGAUUUACUGCACAUUAUUGAAACAAGAAAUAACCGUCAACUUUAAAAUCUUGCAUGGAGAGAGAGUACCGGUUGUCGCGUGCACGUUUCAGCGUUUACUCGUGUAUUUUGGUUUCCGAUCGUGCCCCUACCCAGCUCUCUCCAGUCUCCACCAAGCUUUUUGCCAUUUUCAACUCAUUUUUUUUCUUCAUGCAAACUAAAGCCAAUAUUUACACUAACUAUUUUACGCUUGUUCAGGAGUUGGUAAGGUGCACCCGGAAUAGAAUACAACUCGUUUGAUAAUUAUUUUAAAGCAAGGCUUAGUAAUUAUUUCGUUUUAGGUUUUAGUUAUAAACUUUUACUUUUCGUGCUUAAGAAAUAAAAUGUGUAUUGAUGAAAAAGGGUGGUGAGAGCAACGGUGGGAAGAGAUAUUAAAAAAAAAAAUGAAUAAAAAAAAAUUCAAGAUUUUGAAAAGAACUUAAAAAUAGUUUUUUUAUUUUUUGUUUCAGUUUUCAAUUUCUUCACCCUUUUCUUAUAUAUUUUUUUUCUACGUCUACCAUCACCAUCCUUCCUAAAGUUUGGUGCCUACAAUGGAAGAUUUGCAGUCUUAUAAAUAUUCUUUUUCACGGCUAAUUCAUCUUUUACACUUAAUAAUUACGAAAUUUAAAAUUAUCCUAUAUUUCUGCAAUUAAAAUUUAAAAAUUAUCCAAUACAAUCCAAUCUUGAGUACAAAAACGAUUAUGCGUUUCAUUGACAAAGUCCAUUUGACGUCAGGUGAAAUCAUGAUGCUAUAUUGUGUGGGGGUUUUUGAUCACUCUCAAUUGCAUCGUAAUUGAGUGGCAGGCAAUAUCGUUUUGGGAUUAUAAGGAAUAUAUGCUGCAAGGAGUUGACGUGACAAGCAAGCAAUUUAGUGAGUGGUGCUAAAUCAUCAAGAAUAAAAGUUAACAGACUUAAGUAUAGUUUGGCAUUGAGUUGCUUAAAAAAAAAGCUGCUUAUUUUCAAAGUUUUUACGUUGAAGGUGUUUAGUAAACUAUAAAAAAAACAUUAUUUUAGAAGUUGUUGUGAGAAUAAGCUAAAAUCUUCAAAAAGGCUGAAGCAGCUAAAUGCUGCAUUGGAAAACUGAUUUUUUUUCAAACCGCGUGGAGCUACAGUGCUUUUAAAGUUCAAUAACAUCCUCAAACCAGAAAUGGUGCUCCUUUGCCGAUCUCCACAAAACCCAGAAACCCACCAGAAACAACUUUGCUGAUCUGCACAAGAAAUGGAAACACACCCAGAAACCCACCAGACUACCAUAGCCAAAACCAGAAACGAUUUUCCUUUGCCGAUCUGUGUGCUAAACUAGCCUUAACUUUCUAAGACAUUGGAUACAAACAUCAAAACCCAAAAGCCAAAAAUUGAAUAAAUAUCAGCUUUAAGAUUUCACCGCCAUCAAUUCUAUAAUUUGAUUAAACACAAUUCCAGAAAAAUAAACAAUCUGAGCCACUAAAAGCUUGAAACUUUAUCGAUUUUGGAAAAGUCGAAAAGAAAUCGUGGGCAAUUUGGGUUAAAAACUAAAUACCUCUGGUUCUCCGAAGGUCCGGACUGAAACUAUGGCCAUUGGGCGUCGGUGAAGAGAGACGGAGAAAGGGAGGGACUACAGAGAGGAGUGUUUUCUGUUGUCGAGGAUUACAGACAGGAAUUAGGAAGGAAGGUGGUGGGAGGAAGAAGGGUUUAGAGUUAAAAUGGGUUUUGAUGCCACUUAACAAAGGUGUUUUCUUAAUUAUUGAUUUAUUAAAUAAUAAACUAAAUUUAAAAAUCUGAUUAAUUCAAAUGAUAUGGCUGUCCACAUCAUAUGCCACCUAAGGUGGUAUAGAAAUGUGGUAUAAAACAUGGUAUGAAUAGCAUUACUCAAAAAAAAUAGGAAGACUUCUAGAGAGACUAUUAAUAAAUAAAAGACAUGGAUUAUUAAUAAAUGAAGAUGGAUAAAAGGAAGAUAGGGCUGGUUUAUUAUUUUACAUUUAACAUUAUACUCAUUUUAUAGUUUUUUUGUCAUUUCACACAGUCACAACUGUUUUAUAUAAAAGUUUACCAAACACUACCAUACUGCUUUUUUUUUUCCAAAAGAACUUUUUACAAAAAAAAAUUUACCAAACACUCUGCUACUUUAUUUCACAGCAGCUUAUUCUCAUAGCACAGCAGAAACAACUUAUUCUCAUAACACAGCAGAAACAGCUUAUUAUCAUAGCACAACAGAACAGUUGUUUUUCAAAGCACAGCAGAAACAAUUUUUUUUAAAGCACAGCAAUAUCAAACCAACCCUGAGAGACUAAUCCCAAAAACACAUUUAAUUUUCAGAUAACAAAUUUUCAUAAUCUAAAUCCACCAUAAUUACCAGUAACAAAACACAAAUCACAAGGUGCUACAACCAUACGGUACUCGACAGAAAAUUAACCCCAUCAUUCGAUCUACAACUAAAACGAUAUGUACAGAACAGGCUACAAACAAAGGUGUCAUCUAGGUGUAUCUAACCAGACUCAAAAAACAGAAGGGGGAGGAGGAGGAGGGGGAGGAAGGGAAGGGAGGGUAAGUACCCUAACUGGAGGCGGCUGUGCAACUACAAUUAUUGAACAAUGCCUCGCAUCCGUCUUUAAUUUUUGGCAGACCCGAUAACAUUUCAAUCCUUCGUUACAGAUUGGUUGACCUCUGAUGUAUUAUCUUUCUGGCUUGGCGGAGGCACGGAUUCUCCUAUUUUCAACUCCCCACUUUGUUGUUGCUGCUGCUGUUGCUGUUGCUGAUGAUGCUGCUGCAUCUGUUGCUGCUGGAGUUGAUGGAGCUGAUGCUGCUGAAACUGGUGCUGCUGCUUCUGAGAAUGAAUCUGGAGCUGUUGAAACUGCUGUGCAGUUAGAAGAGUGUGCAUUGCUUGAUUGUUUGGAUAGAACUGCUGCUGACCCGCCGCGCCAAAAGAAGCGUAGUUCAUCAUAGGUCCACCAUUUGGCAUAGCUUGGCCAGUCAUAACUUUCAGAUGCUGAAUUUCUUCUUUCAGUGCAUUGUUCAAUGCUACGAGACAAACAAAAACAAUAAUGUUUCGGCACAAUUUCAUUCACAUAAGGAUCAAGAACCAGAAGUUACACGGAAUCCGAUCAGCAAGAAAACCUAAAUUAUAGUAUUGUACUGAUACUACACAAACAAGAUGCUACAGUCUAAUUUGAGCAAAACUUCUACAUCGGAUGCUAAUUGGCUCUAAAAAUUAACCAUCCAAUACGAUGGCCAGUCCACUUCAGGUUAGCCAGCAUGUUGUUUAUGGCCUACUACAACAUUGAAAAUGGGCAUAAAUUCAAGGAAAAUCGUUCUUGUCGACAUCGGUGGGGGAGGCAUACCCAGCACCGCUUUGAUUAGCCACAGGAAACUAGAUCCAAUGACUGUACACAGGCUAUGAAUUAGAAGCAAAUAGAGAGACUAAGAACAAAAAUCUACUCAUUUGAUAGACAAGCAGUAAAAUGGUCAAGGCAAGUCUACAUUUACAGCUCAGUAAUAAAAGCCAAAAACACAUAAACCUCUCCGACUAAACAUUCAUCAUAAAGAUGCCAACUCAUGCAAUAUAAAUUUAAAAACACUAAUUUAGUACCUUCUGGAUAAGUUGAAGAAACAAUCAAAUCAAAUCAUAAACUAGUUUAGCACAUAAUUUAGUACCAUCUGGAUAAUUUGAAUAAACAAUCAAAUCAUAAACUCAUUGUGCAAUAGGAAAUGCCGAGGAACCAAAGUUCUUUUGCCGAAUCUUAUAACGUAGACUAUAAUAAAUUAGGUAUUUGGUAAAAGCAUAUGGUGCAAAAAGUCUUCAUCAACCAAAAUCAGAAUUAGCAACCAAUUUUUAUUCUGAGUUAGCAGCAGGAAACAAUGUCUGCCAACUUAACUUAUGGCAUCUUGGAUUCUAAUCUAACAAAAAAUCAAGUAUAUGUAUGCUAGCAUCUACUUAUUGGAUCGUCCAUUACGUACAAAGUUAUUGUGUGUCAGCGUGCUUGUAUCAUGCUUAAUUUCUCCUUUCAGCCAAUGACCACAGACAAUUCAAUAAAAUUAAGGAAAGAAAUAGAUUAUAUGAAAAUUAAUUCUAAUCAUGAAAAUUAUGUACAUUGUUUGCAAACGCAGUUUCAGUUCACUGUUCUCAGCAGUCAGACCAUUUGUAUCUCUCUGCUCAUAAAGAAAUCCAUAAGAAUAAUCGCUUGUAUCUCGUUAUGUAAGCUAGAUCAAACAGUCAUGUGAGUAGUGAAGUGAAAACGAAGGGAAUCAUAAGCAAAGACAUUCAUCUAAUCAGUCCAAUAAAGAGAACCUGGUCUAAUAAAGGAAUGGGUUAAGUGAAAUUUACCUGCAAGAGAGUCAAUUGAGCAGACAAGGAUGUUGCUUCUGUUUGCAACGUCUGGACUUUCUGUUCAAGCUCAGCAAUAUCUCGCAUUUUCCUUUCUUUUGACCUUGCAGCUGAAUGCCUAUUAGCCCGGAUCCUAAUGCAUGUCAACCAAAGGUAAAAUAUUAAGCAUAAUAGUUGAAGCAACGGGGCAAAACAAGGAGACAACGAACUCUUUUAUUUUCAUUUAAGAAGGGAAAAUGAAGAAGGGCAAAAACUAGAAAGCACCAAAGAAAAUCAGAUCCACUUCAAGGGUAACAAGAUGUCACAGGUGCAUUGUUGGAUUGUAUUGCACUUGGUUUGAUGUUAUUUUAGUCGACAAUGCAAAGAUUGGAGAAACAAAGAGGAUGGCACAUAUAACUGCCCCUCACCAUUGACCUUCUCAAAUUUGGAUCACUUAAGCAUUGGAUUGUAUUCAUUCUUCAUGUUAACUUUGUUCUGCAGGCUUCCUUCCUAUGGCUAACUUAAGCAUUUGAGUUAUUCUUUUUUUUUUCAAAGAUAUUUAGCUAUUUAAGUUUUUUUUUUGCCUGAUGUUGAACGAGAUUUUAAAUUCGAAUUAUGGUACCUAUUAUACAUGGCCGCACAUGGUGUGAAGAGAAUGAGCAUAUAUGCAAGUCCUCUUGUGGACCCGUAAAGGAAUGGGAAGCCCUACUGCUUAGUCCCCACCCAUCUUCUGCAAGAGAAAAGAAGAGAAAAAAACAAAUAGAGCCAGUAAGGCUCCCCACCCAUCAUUCUUUUUUUAGUAACAUUAAUAUUUGCAUUUGGUUGUCUUUACCAAGCAAUUCAGAGACAUGGGAUCGGAGAGCUUUCAGCCGUCUUCUCCUCCUCCUCCUCCAUGUGGAGGUGAAGAACCACCCAGAAACUGGCCGGUGGAUACUAAUUCAUCAAAUUUAGUACGUAAGGAUGAUAAGCAGGAUGGGAAACGAGACACCCCCUCCUACAUAUGCAGUAAAAGGCAACCCAGAGGCAAAUGGUGAAGUGGUUCAUACAUAGGACGUCUUGUAUAUCGCGGUCUGCUGUCAACUAAUAACAUCAAUAUUAUUAUUAUGAAUAAUAAUUAAGCUCUUCCAUUAAAGUUCUAUAUAUGUACUUCCAGAAUCCAGAGCUUUGUUAUGUUUGUCCCCUAGCAGACAUGGCAUGUAUUUGUAAUUUUAG